AUACUUACCUGGCAGGGGAAAUACCGCGAUCAUGCAGGUGGUUUUCCCAGGGCGAGGCUUGUCCAUUGCACUUUGGGGCGAGCUGACCUCUGCGAUUUCUCCACAUAGGAGAAACUCGACUGCGUAAUUUGUGGUAGUGGGGGACUGCGUGCGCGCUCUCCCCUG
Perognathus longimembris pacificus (Pacific pocket mouse) is the source of this 165-nucleotide small nuclear RNA. RefSeq annotates it as U1 spliceosomal RNA. NCBI's taxonomy places the organism in Eukaryota, Metazoa, Chordata, Mammalia, Rodentia, Heteromyidae. The record is from RefSeq and is a predicted model, not a curated record. The transcript has a single exon.